AGAAGAUGAGAUAGGACGUUGAAUGCACCAGUUCCCCGCGGACCACUGAAGCAACGUUGCGCGUGGUUAGUAUCCGGAUGGGUGACCAUCUGGGUAAAUGCGUGCUUCUGGCU
Molecule: ribosomal RNA, 113 nt
Filed under: Diaphorina citri (Asian citrus psyllid)
Lineage: Eukaryota; Metazoa; Arthropoda; Insecta; Hemiptera; Psyllidae
Source: RNAcentral